UUGCCUUCUCCAAGUUAGUA
RNAcentral lists this non-coding RNA (20 nucleotides) under Arabidopsis thaliana (thale cress). Lineage: Eukaryota; Viridiplantae; Streptophyta; Magnoliopsida; Brassicales; Brassicaceae. The record is from RNAcentral.